Molecule: long non-coding RNA, 1780 nt
Organism: Nomia melanderi (Alkali bee)
Lineage: Eukaryota; Metazoa; Arthropoda; Insecta; Hymenoptera; Halictidae
Source: RefSeq, a predicted model, not a curated record
UUUCUAGAAACACUUGCUAUCUGAUAAAUACAAAUCCAAUGAUAAAACUUAACGAAAAUCUUACAACGUCUUAUCUCCCGAGGCAACGAGUCAUCGUUCCAUAAUUCGAGGCGGGAAUCGAUUACUGAAAGAGGCGGGCUUUCAUGUGAAACAGAGCUCCGUUUAGGUUUAAAUUACACGUCUUAAUUGCGUAAUAAGACAAGGAAGAAGAAUGAACAGUACAACAUUACUUCUAUAAUAUCGAAGAAUUUCGGACAAACAAAAUUACAGGAAUCAUACCGCAACCUCACUUACUAAGGCCAAUUACAUGGAUAUUUUAAUUAAUCCGGAAUCCCCUGCGCCUGGUCGCACACAGCCUACAUGACGGGUUAAUUACUCUCAUCGGCGGAAGCUGGCGUUUACGACGAUUGCUCAUCGUCAAUUUAUACUAAUUUGGUGAACGAACGCCAUAGAGGAACUCGAACGAUCCGCCAUGGAAAAAACAGGAAAAAAUAAUGAAACAAAGACAAAGAUAUCGAAACAAAUCCGAGGUUAAGCAAUCUUAGACAGAGAUAAACAACGAGGAGCUACCAAUCAGUUGCAACGUAAAUUCUUUUUUAUUCCAAAAAUUGAAUGGCAAGAGUCGACGAACCAGGUCGCCGAGCACCAGGACGGAUAACAGCGAUGCCAGCUCAGGGUGGCGAUUCGGCACAAUUCCUGGCAAAGUCUCCGGGAAUGUGUGUACGGCAGGAAGAAUAAAAACAGCAUACGAUAACGAGCCCGUGAGCCUGUCCGCGUGGGCGCGAGCGUAUAAAGUUCUUUCGCUUUCUCUCCCUCCUGACACAAGCGCAUUGUCUUCUGAGCGAGUCAAUGAUUCACAACGUAUCAGCAACCAUUAGACUCCCCGUAAAGACACUUAAAACUGGAUCAAUAACGCGCAAUCCGUUCGGGGUCAAGACAGGCUGGCUGUGAAUGGAGCCGGGCAUCAGGAAUACCGCGGGUAAUAGAAUCAGGAUGCGUGUGGAGGGGUGGCGGCCUUGAGCGAGCCGCGCACUUUCAUCCGCAUCAAUAGGCACGGAGCAGGGAACGGGAUGAAAUCCUAUAGGCAGCCCCCAGCCACCGUAGAGGCGUUACAUGUCAGGAGGAAUGUGGGCGCACCAGUUUCGAGAGUCAUUGAGAGAAGCGGGCCGCCUGUAUUCAGAUUUCUCUGUCUGCGGAGAAGCGCGGAAAGCGACACGUCGAUGAUCUUGACAAAUACCGUCGAUUCGCACGUUCAUGAUCACCCGUUCAUCUAACCCUUUCCGGUCGAAGGCCGGGUACAAGCCAGCGACGCACUUUUUCUAUUGAGAAUGACGGUCGGGUAUCGUUCAACUGUUCCAUCAACCGAGUGGCUUUUCUUUUGGAUAUUUUAACCCUUUGCACUUGAUUUAUUCUCAAUAUAGGGUGUAAACUUAUAUUUAGAUCUUUGAUACUGAAAGUACCGUACAGGUAAAAUGACUCAUUCCUGAUUCCUUUUUAAUGUUAAAGAGAUAUUUAAUAUCUGUGUGAUUAAUUGAAGUUUCAGUAUGGAAAUUCUCUCUUUUUGAGAACUAAGGUUCCCAAUCAAUCUAUUAUUUUGAUCGUGCUAUUAGCAAAUGUGACUGCAAAAGCUUCGAGAGCAACAAGCUUUAUUUUAACUUUAACACUGAAACUACCACUCAAAAUGAUUUAUUCCUGAUUCCUUUUUGAUGUUAAAGUUGAAAGCUUGUUGAUUUUAGAGCCUUUGCAGUCACGUUUGCUAAUAGUACAAUCAAAACAGUGA